CAGCCGCCACGGGAAAACGGAGGGGGCAAGCGUUAUCCGGAAUUAUUGGGCGUAAAGGGUACGUAGGUGGCCUUUUAAGCGUAGGGUAUAAGGCAAUGGCUCAACCAUUGUUCGCCCUAUGAACUGGAAGGCUUGAGUGCAGGAGAGGAAAGCGGAAUUCCUAGUGUAGCGGUGGAAUGCAUAGAUAUUAGGAGGAACAUCAGCGGCGAAGGCGGCUUUCUGGACUGCAACUGACACUGAGGUACGAAAGCGUGGGGAGCAAACAGGAUUAGAUACCCCGGUAGUCCCUGUCUCUUAUACA
Molecule: ribosomal RNA, 301 nt
Filed under: uncultured bacterium
Lineage: Bacteria
Description: partial 16S ribosomal RNA
Rfam family: Bacterial small subunit ribosomal RNA
Source: RNAcentral